AAUAAGUGAUCUUCAGAUGGAGUUAACAACUGUUAUUUGUGUCAAAGAAAGCGACUGGUAGUAAGGGUGAGUGGAGAGGACCUGCAGGCAUCACAGGACAUGAAAACAGCAGAGUCUAAGAAGACAUGAGCUUUUCUGUGCUCACAGUAAAAUCACCAGGAUUCUUGCCAUGAAUGCAAGAACUGAGUUGCUCCUUCAGAGGGAAAUGCCACAAUGCUUGUGUGGAAGGAGUCACAAAGAUGGACACUGGAGUAAAUGAGAGCGCACAUAACUCACCAUCUAGCCUGUUUGGUCUGCCCACAUCGGUUCCUGACUCUAUACACUUCCCCAUUAUUUUCCAGGUAGGAAGACUUUCAACGUGCUUUUACUCUUCUUUUUCUUUCCCGGAUUUAUAUGAGGAAAAAAUGAUUGUUAGGCUGCUUUCUGGAUGUAGCUCUCAGGAAACCAUGCUCACAAAUGCAAAUCUGAAAAAUGGGUGUGUGAUUGCAUGCCUAACUUGGAGAUACGAUUCAGAUUACAGUUUGGGUAACUGA
This 533-nucleotide long non-coding RNA is filed under the name Coturnix japonica (Japanese quail). RNAcentral's name for it is "lncRNA (ENSCJPG00005007306.1)". Lineage: Eukaryota; Metazoa; Chordata; Aves; Galliformes; Phasianidae. The record is from RNAcentral.